This is a long non-coding RNA of Apis cerana (Asiatic honeybee), 1701 nucleotides long. RefSeq lists it as uncharacterized. Lineage: Eukaryota; Metazoa; Arthropoda; Insecta; Hymenoptera; Apidae. The record is from RefSeq and is a predicted model, not a curated record.
CUAGCUGAAAGAAGAAAUAAUAAUGAAAAAAUAUUAAAUAAAUUUUUGAAAUUUAUUUUCAUGAUAAAAGUAUAAAAAAUUCAAUAAUAUUAAUCAUGAAUAUGAAUCAAUUACUAAAAAGAAAUGUCAAAUGAUAUACUUAUUGUAUUUAAAUGACGUUGGUUAUAUACUUAAAAACCAAAAAAAAAAUUAACCAAAACACUAAUCUAUCAAAUAUACAAUCAAAGAUCUUAUAAUGAAUAUUACUUAAAAAGGAUCUAUUCUUUUUUCACUCACUGUCCUUGGAAGAAGGUAUAUUCAUAGAAGCAUAUAGGAGCCAGAAGGCUAUUAAAAUUACUCCAAUUGCAUUAAAUGCCCCUUUUGAGGGUGAAGAGGAUAACUACGUAUUCCCGUUUACGGACUGAAAUGAAAUCAAUAUGGUAUACGUGCGAAGCGCAGACAGACUCGCAAAGGACCCAGAAAUAACAUGUUUGUUGCUAAACGCCCGUCGUGCCGGGAAAAUGAUUUACCACUUAUUUGCCUCGCCAUGGAUCCUUUUUUAUUUUCAAUAAUAAAACUUUUCAUUGAUUGGUUGAUAAGAUUAUUUUAGCAAAAAAUAUGUUUUUUUAAUACAAAGAUGCAUUUUGUUCAUGUUCUUCACUAAAUAUAUAUAUAUUAUUAUUAAUGGAUUUCAAAUCAUAAUAAUUUUAGCGAUUUGUAAUCAUAUGAACAUAAUAUAACGGGUGUGUGAUAAGUAUCAUAGAUCGAAUAGACAGAUUAUUCUGGAUCGAAUGGUUCUUGCUUUGGAAUGGCGAGAGAGAAUCAAUGGCGGCUAUUUUGAGAGGUUUCGGCGUUGGCGAUGUCGUCGUCGAGAACGUUCCUACGUCUUCAAACAUGCCAAUGGUGUUCGAAGAUUACAAAUAUAAUUUUAUCAUAUAUAUUUUAUAUAGAAAAAAAUUAUUUAUUAAAAAUAUUUUUUAAAUAUUAUUUUAGAGUAUAAAUAUAAUGAUUAAUAUUAGAUUUAAUAUUAUAAAUUUUUAACAUAAAUUCUUUUCUUUUUAACAUAAAUGAAUAAAAUCUAAAAUAUGAUAAAAAUCAUUCUUUUGAUAUAGAAUUCGUCUGAUUCUUUUAUCAUAAAAAAUUAAAAAAAUAUCUUAUCUUAGAAAAAUUAUUAUUGUUAUUAGCUAUUUUUUCUUAUUUUCUCUAUAUUAUAGAUAUUGAUAUAUAUAAAUAUAGAGAUUUAUAGAAAUUAAUACGAAAAUAUAAUUGGGAAAUUUUUUUUGACGAAAAGAAUUUAAGACAUUUCUUUAAAAUAUUUAUUGUUAUUAAAACAAAUAAUAUAUUCAUCGUUAUUAUUUUUCUAAUACUUGAGUAUAUCAAAAAAUUUAUUGUUAAUUUUAUAAUUUAAAUAAUUUAUAAUUUAAAUAAGAAUUUCUUUCAGUUUUUUCUAUUGACGAGCUAUUUUCAUAUAAUGAUUUAUAAAAUUCAUCACAUAUGGAAAGAGAUGAUACUUGGAAAGUGAUCUUUUUCUUCAUUGUUCAGAACCGUCGGAUCGUUAAUUAUUCCUCUCGUUUUUUUUUUUGAAAAAUAUCAUUCAUGAAACAAUAAUAAACAUUCAUGAAAAAUAAAUUGAUUUAAUUAAUAUUUGAAUAAAAUAUUGUAUCAUAUGAAGAUCAUAUUAUAUAGAUCCUAGAUAAAAAUAAAGAUAUGAUUGUAAUUGUA